This is a long non-coding RNA of Pan troglodytes (chimpanzee), 1276 nucleotides long. The record is from Ensembl. Lineage: Eukaryota; Metazoa; Chordata; Mammalia; Primates; Hominidae.
GUUUUAACAAUCUGGGAAUCUCUCAAUCACAGGACACUUAUCUAUCAUGCCCCUUGUAACAUGUUGUUACAAAGAGUGUAGCUCAAAACCUUGCUUUUUGAGUUUUCUGAAUCAGUCUGAAAAUCAUACUGCUUGUAACACAGUAUGAAACAUACUCCUUGUAUCCCAGUCUGAAAAUGAUACUCCUUGUUACAAGUCAGCAGAGACAUGAAGGACAGGAGAGGCAAUGGAGUCUCCAAGGCUCUAGCCACACCCAGCAUACACUGAGGGAGACAAAACGAAAACAAAAACAAACAAAAAAACACACAAAGAAACGAUUUUCUUUGUAUUACCCACAGUUCUCAACUUUACUGAUAUGGAUUGAAACUUAAAACUAGAAAAUCUUCUCCUCUUUUUUGUAAAGAGGAGAGAGAUGAGUACAGUUAAAUUCCCGGACUUUUCCUCUCACCAAGUCACAAUUUCACUGUCCAGCCACACCAACAGUUCAGCGCUCUCUUGGCAGUAGAGGCCAAAAGCUUCCAAAUAGACUCUGAAAGUGGCUAUGCAGCCAUGGCAAGUGACGGGAACCCCUUGUUUCUGACAGGAAAACAACUCAGGAGCUGCUUGCCACUUUCACUGGGGCCUUUUGGAAAGCCUGACUUCGAUGGGCCCUAGGGGUGCAUUGUUGAGGGGGAAGAUGAGAGAGCUCAAGAGGCUUGUGGAACAGAAAGUGGACUAUGAACAAUCCAAAGAAAGUGGUGGAUGGUUUCUGGAAGGACAAGUCUGCACCAGAGAAUAAAAGGGCAUUCCUUAGGGUUGCUGAGGAUUUUCUUCGAUUGUAUUCUGCUAAUGUGUGUGCAAGGCAGAUAUAACACAUUUGUGGAAGGCUCUAGAGACAUUUUCCACAAAUUUUACCCUGGUUUCAGAACAACUUUCUCUGAUCUCUGUGGACAUGCUUAAAAUGGCUGACUCACACAGCAAGAGUAUUUAACUGUGCCUAAAAUCAACCCACAUUCAGAUGCUAACUGUAAUCCUAUUCCCUGAUCCAUCAGGAAAAAGAGUCUGAUUGACAUAACUUGUCAAGUGUUCGUCCCAGCUUCUAUCAACUAUGGGGAAGGAAGGGCCAGAAGAGGUGUAACCAUCAUGGCUACCAGGUUUUGAGAUAUUUAGAUUACAUACUGCAUUUAUUAAAAUACAAAUUAAAUCUGCAAUAAAACACUAAUUGACCAUUCUCUGGGAUUCCUCCUAUGGGUAAUAUUUUCUGCAGAAAAUGUUAACCUCUCCCGUAAUGGUUAAG